RNAcentral lists this long non-coding RNA (732 nucleotides) under Calidris pugnax (ruff). RNAcentral's name for it is "lncRNA (ENSCPUG00000019497.1)". Lineage: Eukaryota; Metazoa; Chordata; Aves; Charadriiformes; Scolopacidae. The record is from RNAcentral.
GCCGCCGCCUCGGCCUUUCGCUGGGGCCGCGGGCGCCUCCGCGGAACCGGGCCUCGGGGGCAGUUUUUGCAGCCGCAGAAGUUCCCCCCCUCGGUCGGCAGAAGCCCCCAGCCCUGCGAGGUCCGCGGGCGGGACCGAGCGCUCCUCCGCCGGCUCUCACCGCCCAGCCGGCUCCUCCAUCGUGCCCCCUUGGCCGUGGCUUGCCCCCGUCUGGGAAGCCGCUGUGGAAAAAAAGGCGAGCAGGGGAAAAGAUUUUGAAAGGGACUGGAAAGAAAUUGGUGGAAAUGGAAGCUUAUCGAUGCCUAUGUCCAGAGCCUUCCACAAAUGAGAUGAGACGUUUUACCUGUGAAACCUGUAUGUGAUAAAGGAAGAGAACUAAUCAUACGACAAAUGACAUGGCACCAGCCUUUUUUUCCACUGGAGAUUUCAGUACUCUGCAGGUGACCAACCGCUUCAUGAUCUGGGGACAUCUUAGAGUGACAGCCAAAGGAAGUCAAGAACUGGUUUUUGCAUGCACGGGGAUGACAACCACAACCACAAAGAGGUGAAGAGGACUUGGGUCCUAACUUGAGGCAGGGAAAAUGGACUAGAGGAGCCUCCAAGAAAGCCUUUCAGUUCCUGUGGGGUUUGGGCCCUUGACUCCAGGCAGGUAGAAAUGGAGAGGGGGUUUGUGAGCAGCGCUGCAUCCUGAUGGCUCAGGCACCUGGGACAGGAUUCAGUGACCAGGAAACA